UUGAACGCUGGCGGCAUGCCUUACACAUGCCAGUCGAACGGCAGCACGGGUGCUUGCCCCUGGUGGCGAGUGGCGAACGGGUGAGUAAUACAUCGGAACAUGUCCUGUAGUGGGGGAUAGCCCGGCGAAAGCCGGAUUAAUACCGCAUACGAUCUACGGAUGAAAGCGGGGGACCUUCGGGCCUCGCGCUAUAGGGUUGGCCGAUGGCUGAUUAGCUAGUUGGUGGGGUAAAGGCCUACCAAGGCGACGAUCAGUAGCUGGUCUGAGAGGACGACCAGCCACACUGGGACUGAGACACGGCCCAGACUCCUACGGGAGGCAGCAGUGGGGAAUUUUGGACAAUGGGCGAAAGCCUGAUCCAGCAAUGCCGCGUGUGUGAAGAAGGCCUUCGGGUUGUAAAGCACUUUUGUCCGGAAAGAAAUCCUUGGCUCUAAUACAGUCGGGGGAUGACGGUACCGGAAGAAUAAGCACCGGCUAACUACGUG
This 485-nucleotide ribosomal RNA is filed under the name uncultured bacterium. RNAcentral's name for it is "partial 16S ribosomal RNA". It matches the Rfam family "Bacterial small subunit ribosomal RNA", at positions 30 to 507 of the family's 1533-position model. The record is from RNAcentral.